This 446-nucleotide ribosomal RNA is filed under the name uncultured bacterium. RNAcentral's name for it is "partial 16S ribosomal RNA". It matches the Rfam family "Bacterial small subunit ribosomal RNA", at positions 338 to 795 of the family's 1533-position model. The record is from RNAcentral.
CCUACGGGGGGCAGCAGUCGAGAAUCAUUCACAAUGGGGGAAACCCUGAUGGUGCGACGCCGCGUGGGGGAAUGAAGGUCUUCGGAUUGUAAACCCCUGUCAUGUGGGAGCAAAUUAAAAAGAUAGUACCACAAGAGGAAGAGACGGCUAACUCUGUGCCAGCAGCCGCGGUAAUACAGAGGUCUCAAGCGUUGUUCGGAAUCACGGGGCGUAAAGCGUGCGUAGGCUGUUUCGUAAGUCGUGUGUGAAAGGCGCGGGCUCAACCCGCGGACGGCACAUGAUACUGCGAGACUAGAGUAAGGGAGGGGGAACCGGAAUUCUCGGUGUAGCAGUGAAAUGCGUAGAUAUCGAGAGGAACACUCGUGGCGAAGGCGGGUUCCUGGACAUUAACUGACGCUGAGGCACGAAGGCCAGGGGAGCGAAAGGGAUUAGAUACCCUGGUAGUC